AUUCAUCCUUCCAUUUCUGGUACUUCCAGUCCGUAGCGGGUUAUCUGCUGGUGGAUUUUAGCAGAAAGAAGUCAUCUCUCACAACACAGAUAGACCUUACAUGCAGAAAAUCAGAUAUACUUGGGCACCUGGAGAGUUUCUUGCUUUUCACCUGGAAGAACUUGUGCUUCCUCUCAAGACAAAGCUUGUCUCCAAACCCAGGUGAGGAGACUCCCACCAAAGGAAACGGAAGGUGCUUUGUGGACACCCUGCAAGGCCCUACUGCAAAUCCUUGGAGGCUUGGGGUGUUAAAGAUGGCUUCAUUUAAGCUCCCUCCAUCCUGCCCUUCAAAUCACUUUGAAGGCUUCUCAAACUCCCGAGCAUCUCAAGGAGCUUCCUACCCAUCUCCUGCCUCCAGCAUCACCAG
Long non-coding RNA from Nothoprocta perdicaria, 406 nucleotides. RefSeq lists it as uncharacterized. The transcript is spliced from 2 exons. Lineage: Eukaryota; Metazoa; Chordata; Aves; Tinamiformes; Tinamidae. The record is from RefSeq and is a predicted model, not a curated record.